AACAUGUCCGUGUGAAUUGGAUAUUCGGUCUGACCUGCUCACUGAGAUUUUAAAGGGCUGCGGUAAUUUGACCGUGCAAAGGUAGCAUAAUCAAUAGUCUUUUAAUUGGAGACUGGAAUGAAAGGUUUGACGGAGGAAAAGCUGUCUUCUUUGUUUAUAUUGAACUUAACUUUUGUGUGAAAAGGCAUUCAUGGUUUAGAGGGACGAUAAGACCCUAUAAAAUUUUACAUGUUAUAUUGUUUAGCUAAAUUGUUUAGUUAAUGGUUAAGUGAUUGGUUGUGUUUUGCUGGGGCGGUAGAGAUAUAUAUUAACUGUUUUAUAAUUAAAAUAUUUAUUAAUAGAAGGUGGUCCUUGAUUCUGGAGUUGAGAGUAAGUUACUUUAGGGAUAACAGCAUGAUUUCUUUUGAGAGUUCUUAUCGAAGGAGGUAGUUGUGACCUCGAUGUUGAAUUAAAUUUUCUUUUAGGUGUAGGCGUUUGAUAAGAAGGGCCUGUUCGGCCUCUGAGUAUUUACAUGAUUUGAGUUCAAACCGG
RNAcentral lists this ribosomal RNA (531 nucleotides) under Synalpheus sp. 3 HA-2021b. Its description in RNAcentral is "partial large subunit ribosomal RNA". It matches the Rfam family "Bacterial large subunit ribosomal RNA", at positions 1814 to 2619 of the family's 2925-position model. Lineage: Eukaryota; Metazoa; Arthropoda; Malacostraca; Decapoda; Alpheidae. The record is from RNAcentral.